This 565-nucleotide ribosomal RNA is filed under the name Aspergillus fumigatus. RNAcentral's name for it is "eukaryotic LSU rRNA". The stretch from base 184 to 337 matches the Rfam family "5.8S ribosomal RNA". The record is from RNAcentral. Lineage: Eukaryota; Fungi; Ascomycota; Eurotiomycetes; Eurotiales; Aspergillaceae.
GGCCUCGGUAGACUCUGGGUCCACCUCCCACCCGUGUCUAUCGUACCUUGUUGCUUCGGCGGGCCCGCCGUUUCGACGGCCGCCGGGGAGGCCUUGCGCCCCCGGGCCCGCGCCCGCCGAAGACCCCAACAUGAACGCUGUUCUGAAAGUAUGCAGUCUGAGUUGAUUAUCGUAAUCAGUUAAAACUUUCAACAACGGAUCUCUUGGUUCCGGCAUCGAUGAAGAACGCAGCGAAAUGCGAUAAGUAAUGUGAAUUGCAGAAUUCAGUGAAUCAUCGAGUCUUUGAACGCACAUUGCGCCCCCUGGUAUUCCGGGGGGCAUGCCUGUCCGAGCGUCAUUGCUGCCCUCAAGCACGGCUUGUGUGUUGGGCCCCCGUCCCCCUCUCCCGGGGGACGGGCCCGAAAGGCAGCGGCGGCACCGCGUCCGGUCCUCGAGCGUAUGGGGCUUUGUCACCUGCUCUGUAGGCCCGGCCGGCGCCAGCCGACACCCAACUUUAUUUUUCUAAGGUUGACCUCGGAUCAGGUAGGGAUACCCGCUGAACUUAAGCAUAUCAAUAAAGCGGAGG